UACGUAGGGGGCAAGCGUUAUCCGGAUUUACUGGGUGUAAAGGGAGCGUAGGUGGCAUGGUAAGCCAGAAGUGAAAACCCGGGGCUCAACCCCGCGGAUUGCUUUUGGAACUAUCAGGCUGGAGUGCUGGAGGGGUAAGCGGAAUUCCUAGUGUAGCGGUGAAAUGCGUAGAUAUUAGGAGGAACACCAGUGGCGAAGGCGGCUUACUGGACGGCAACUGACGCUGAGGCUCGAAAGCGUGGGGAGCAAACAGG
RNAcentral lists this ribosomal RNA (254 nucleotides) under uncultured bacterium. RNAcentral describes it as "partial 16S ribosomal RNA". It matches the Rfam family "Bacterial small subunit ribosomal RNA", at positions 524 to 776 of the family's 1533-position model. The record is from RNAcentral.